RNAcentral lists this ribosomal RNA (495 nucleotides) under uncultured bacterium. RNAcentral's name for it is "partial 16S ribosomal RNA". It matches the Rfam family "Bacterial small subunit ribosomal RNA", at positions 28 to 507 of the family's 1533-position model. The record is from RNAcentral.
GACGAACGCUGGCGGCGUGCCUAAUACAUGCAAGUAGAACGCUGAAGGAGGAGCUUGCUUCUCUGGAUGAGUUGCGAACGGGUGAGUAACGCGUAGGUAACCUGCCUGGUAGCGGGGGAUAACUAUUGGAAACGAUAGCUAAUACCGCAUAAUAGUAGAUGUUGCAUGACAUUUACUUAAAAGGUGCAAUUGCAUCACUACCAGAUGGACCUGCGUUGUAUUAGCUAGUUGGUGGGGUAACGGCUCACCAAGGCGACGAUACAUAGCCGACCUGAGAGGGUGAUCGGCCACACUGGGACUGAGACACGGCCCAGACUCCUACGGGAGGCAGCAGUAGGGAAUCUUCGGCAAUGGACGAAAGUCUGACCGAGCAACGCCGCGUGAGUGAAGAAGGUUUUCGGAUCGUAAAGCUCUGUUGUAAGAGAAGAACGAGUGUGAGAGUGGAAAGUUCACACUGUGACGGUAUCUGACCAGAAAGGGACGGCUAACUACGUG